GCUCCCGUAGUUUAACUGGACAAAACAAGGCAUUCCUAAUGCUUAGUUCUGGGUUCGAGUCCUGGCGGGAGCA
RNAcentral lists this transfer RNA (73 nucleotides) under SAR324 cluster bacterium. RNAcentral describes it as "tRNA-Arg". It matches the Rfam family "tRNA". From Rfam's summary of the family: Transfer RNA (tRNA) molecules are approximately 80 nucleotides in length. Their secondary structure includes four short double-helical elements and three loops (D, anti-codon, and T loops). Lineage: Bacteria; Deltaproteobacteria. The record is from RNAcentral. RNAcentral also lists the same sequence under 1 other name.